GAUGAACGCUGGCGGCGUGCCUAAUACAUGCAAGUCGAGCGAACAGAUAAGGAGCUUGCUCCUUUGACGUUAGCGGCGGACGGGUGAGUAACACGUGGAUAACCUACCUAUAAGACUGGGAUAACUUCGGGAAACCGGAGCUAAUACCGGAUAACAUAUUGAACCGCAUGGUUCAAUAGUGAAAGGCGGCUUUGCUGUCACUUAUAGAUGGAUCCGCGCCGUAUUAGCUAGUUGGUAAGGUAACGGCUUACCAAGGCAACGAUACGUAGCCGACCUGAGAGGGUGAUCGGCCACACUGGAACUGAGACACGGUCCAGACUCCUACGGGAGGCAGCAGUAGGGAAUCUUCCGCAAUGGGCGAAAGCCUGACGGAGCAACGCCGCGUGAGUGAUGAAGGUCUUCGGAUCGUAAAACUCUGUUAUCAGGGAAGAACAAAUGUGUAAGUAACUGUGCACAUCUUGACGGUACCUGAUCAGAAAGCCACGGCUAACUACGUGCCAGCAGCCGCGGUAAUACGUAAGUGGCAAGCGUUAUCCGGAAUUAUUGGGCGUAAAGCGCGCGUAGCGGUUUUUUAGUCUGAUGUGAAAGCCCACGGCUCAACCGUGGAGGGUCAUUGGAAACUGGAAAACUUGAGUGCAGAAGAGGAAAGUGGAAUUCCAUGUGUAGCGGUGAAAUGCGCAGAGAUAUGGAGGAACACCAGUGGCGAAGGCGACUUUCUGGCCUGUAACUGACGCUGAUGUGCGAAAGCGUGGGGAUCAAACAGGAUUAGAUACCCUGGUAGUCCACGCCGUAAACGAUGAGUGCUAAGUGUUAGGGGGUUUCCGCCUCUUAGUGUUGCAGCUAACGCAUUAAGCACUCCGCCUGGGGAGUACGACCGCAAGGUUGAAACUCAAAGGAAUUGACGGGGACCCGCACAAGCGGUGGAGCGUGUGGUUUAAUUCGAAGCAACGCGAAGAACCUUACCAAAUCUUGACAUCCUUUGACCGCUCUAGAGAUAGAGUUUUCCCCUUCGGGGGACAAAGUGACAGGUGGUGCAUGGUUGUCGUCAGCUCGUGUCGUGAGAUGUUGGGUUAAGUCCCGCAACGAGCGCAACCCUUAAGCUUAGUUGCCAUCAUUAAGUUGGGCACUCUAAGUUGACUGCCGGUGACAAACCGGAGGAAGGUGGGGAUGACGUCAAAUCAUCAUGCCCCUUAUGAUUUGGGCUACACACGUGCUACAAUGGACAAUACAAAGGGCAGCUAAACCGCGAGGUCAAGCAAAUCCCAUAAAGUUGUUCUCAGUUCGGAUUGUAGUCUGCAACUCGACUACAUGAAGCUGGAAUCGCUAGUAAUCGUAGAUCAGCAUGCUACGGUGAAUACGUUCCCGGGUCU
RNAcentral lists this ribosomal RNA (1370 nucleotides) under uncultured bacterium. RNAcentral describes it as "bacterial SSU rRNA". It matches the Rfam family "Bacterial small subunit ribosomal RNA", at positions 28 to 1381 of the family's 1533-position model. The record is from RNAcentral.